GAUGAACGCUGGCGGCGUGCCUAAUACAUGCAAGUCGAGCGAACAGACUAGGAGCUUGCUCCUCUGACGUUAGCGGCGGACGGGUGAGUAACACUUGGAUAACCUACCUAUAAGACUGGGAUAACUUCGGGAAACCGGAGCUAAUACCGGAUAAUAUAUUGAACCGCAUGGUUCAAUAGUUAAAGACGGUUUUGCUGUCACUUAUAGAUGGAUCCGCGCCACAUUAGCUAGUUGGUAAGGUAACGGCUUACCAAGGCAACGAUGCGUGCCCGACCUGGGAGAGUGAUAGGCAACACUAGAACAGAGACACGGUCAAGAAUCCUACGAGAGGCAACAGUAGGGAAUCUUCCGCAAUGAGCGAAAGCAAAAAGGAGAAACGCCGCGUGAGUGAUAAAGGUCUACGGAUCGUAGAACUCUGUUAUAAGAGAAGAACAAAUGUGUAAGUAACUAUGCACGUAUUGACGGUACCUAAUCAGAAAGCCACGGCUAACUACGUG
RNAcentral lists this ribosomal RNA (497 nucleotides) under uncultured bacterium. Its description in RNAcentral is "partial 16S ribosomal RNA". It matches the Rfam family "Bacterial small subunit ribosomal RNA", at positions 28 to 507 of the family's 1533-position model. The record is from RNAcentral.